RNAcentral lists this ribosomal RNA (486 nucleotides) under uncultured Gammaproteobacteria bacterium. RNAcentral's name for it is "bacterial SSU rRNA". It matches the Rfam family "Bacterial small subunit ribosomal RNA", at positions 30 to 505 of the family's 1533-position model. Lineage: Bacteria; Pseudomonadati; Pseudomonadota; Gammaproteobacteria. The record is from RNAcentral.
AUUGAACGCUGGCGGCAUGCUUAAGACAUGCAAGUCGAACGGUAACGAUGGGUGCUUGCAUCCAGGCGACGAGUGGCGGACGGGUGAGUACAACUUAGGAAUCUGCCUAGUAGCUGGGGAUAACUUUAAGAAAUUGAAGCUAAUACCGAAUACGCCCUACGGGGGAAAGCGGGGGAUCUUCGGACCUCGCACUAUUAGAUGAGCCUAAGCCGGAUUAGCUAGUUGGUGGGGUAAAGGCCUACCAAGGCGACGAUCCGUAGCUGUUCUGAGAGGAAGAUCAGCCACACUGGGACUGAGACACGGCCCAGACUCCUACGGGAGGCAGCAGUCGGGAAUAUUGGACAAUGGGGGCAACCCUGAUCCAGCAAUGCCGCGUGUGUGAAGAAGGCCUGCGGGUUGUAAAGCACUUUCAAAUGUGAAGAAGGGUUUGGUGUUAAUAGCGCCAGACAUUGACGUUAACAUUAGAAGAAGCACCGGCUAAUUUAG